AGGAAGAGCGGAUCCGUCGUGGGGAUGACCUGAGGCUGCAGAUGGCAAUAGAGGAGAGCAAGAGGGAGACUGGGGGCAAGGAGGAGUCAUCUCUUAUGGAUCUUGCUGACGUCUUCACAACCCCAGCCCCUCCACAGGCCUCAGACCCUUGGGGGGGCCCGGCAUCUGUGCCUACUGCUGUCCCUGUGGCUGCUGCUGCCUCAGACCCUUGGGGGGCACCUGCUGUCCCUCCAGCUGCUGAUCCUUGGGGUGGUGCAGCCCCCACGCCAGCCUCCGGGGAUCCUUGGAGGCCUGCAGCCCCUACAGGGCCCUCUGUUGACCCUUGGGGUGGGACCCCAGCUCCUGCAGCUGGAGAGGGGCCCACAUCUGACCCGUGGGGAAGCGCUGAUGGUGGGGCCCCUGUCAGUGGACCCCCAUCUUCUGACCCCUGGGCACCUGCCCCAGCUUUCUCAGACCCUUGGGGAGGUUCACCUGCAAAGCCCAGCAGCAAUGGCACUGCAGCAGUUGGGGGCUUUGACACUGAGCCCGAUGAGUUCUCAGACUUCGACCGACUCCGCACUGCCCUGCCAACCUCUGGGAGCAGCACAGGGGAAUUGGAGUUGCUCGCAGGGGAGGUUCCUGCUCGCAGCCCCGGGGCAUUCGACAUGAGUGGGGUUGGGGGAUCUCUGGCUGAGUCUGUGGGGAGUCCCCCUCCUGCGGCAACCCCAACUCCUACCC
This 717-nucleotide long non-coding RNA is filed under the name Rattus norvegicus (Norway rat). RNAcentral's name for it is "long non-coding RNA NONRATT000368". Lineage: Eukaryota; Metazoa; Chordata; Mammalia; Rodentia; Muridae. The record is from RNAcentral.